Molecule: ribosomal RNA, 385 nt
Filed under: uncultured bacterium
Lineage: Bacteria
Description: bacterial SSU rRNA
Rfam family: Bacterial small subunit ribosomal RNA
Source: RNAcentral
UAUUGGGCAAUGGAGGAAACUCUGACCCAGAGACGCCGGGUGCGGGAUGAAGGCCUUCGGGCUGUAAACCGCUUUCAGUAGGGAAGAAGGGAAAGUGACGGUACCUUAAAAAUAAGCACCGGCUAACUAUGUGCCAGCAGCCGCGGUAAUACAUAGGGUGCAAGCGUUGUCCGGAAUUAUUGGGCGUAAAGAGCUCGUAGGUGGUUUGUUAAGUCGGAUGUGAAAACCUGAGGCUCAACCUCAGGCCGGCAUUCGAUACGGGCAAACUAGAGUUUGGUAGGGGAGAAUGGAAUUCCGGGUGUAGCGGUGGAAUGCGCAGAUAUCAGGAGGAACACCAAUGGCGAAGGCAGUGUCCCUGGGCCAAUACUGACACUCAUGAACGAAG